UCUGUAAGUUUCCGGUUCCAUCCAAAACCACUCUGCAGGUCAGUUAGAAAGAGGAUGCAUUCAUGGAGCACGUUUAACUGCCCAAGGACGACACCAGGUCACAAGAAAGAAGACUGCCAGGUUACAGACUUCGGGCUGGAAGAAGUCAGCGGAGGUAAGAACGCUACAGCAGCAUCGCACUGGAUUGGACCAUGUGGUUGACAGGCAGGGCUGACCUCUGCAGGCUCCUCGUUUCCCAGUUGCUGAGGCUCAUAAGCACCUGCAUGCAGACGCCACCUGAGACUCAAGAGUUGGUCAGUCCCUAGAGGCAGAGAAGGUACAGCUUCUGCUUAAAUGCAAAUUAAAAGAAAGCAAAACAUCUCCAGUCCUAUGUGCACAACAGCAAGAUUUAGAGGCAAUAGAGAAUGCA
Non-coding RNA from Manis javanica (Malayan pangolin), 409 nucleotides. NCBI's taxonomy places the organism in Eukaryota, Metazoa, Chordata, Mammalia, Pholidota, Manidae. The record is from RefSeq and is a predicted model, not a curated record.